Long non-coding RNA from Panicum virgatum (switchgrass), 1370 nucleotides. RefSeq lists it as uncharacterized. The transcript has 3 exons. The record is from RefSeq and is a predicted model, not a curated record. NCBI's taxonomy places the organism in Eukaryota, Viridiplantae, Streptophyta, Magnoliopsida, Poales, Poaceae.
AGCAUCAGGUUGGUGAAAUUAGGGAUGGCGUGAUGAAUGAUGAAUUUUAAGCCAUGUUAUACAGUCGUCCGACUAAUCGCGAUUAGUCGCGAUUAGUCGACCUUAUCGCUCCGCUGGCUUCGAUAAGUGAAACGACUAGCUUUUGUCGAUCAAAUGUCUGAUCGUCCGACUAAUCGUCGCCUAAUCGCGAUUAGUCGUCCGACUAGCUACUUGGACGAUCAGGCCAAAACCAAAAGAUGUCCAGCAGACCAGCACUCCAGCCCGCCGCCCGUACUGGGCUCAAUUAGGCCCAUUAGCUACUUGCUGGUUGCCUGCUGCCCUGGUUUAGUUGUGUUCUUUUUAAAUUUUGAAUUACUUGCUCACUUGCUGUAAUGCUGUUACAUAUUUAAUUUCAGCUACUGACUUCAGUUUUUCUCUUUGUAAUUACAGUUUCAGCAGCAGAACAGCAAGGAUAUGGAGUGUGGGACAAGAUUAUGGAGUUUUGGACAGUUCAAACAUCAAAUCUCACAAAUGGAACAGCCUCCUUGCUACGCCUCCUGGAUAUGUUUUACGAUGAGCGACACCGUGGCAAGAUACAUGAGGAGCGUACAUAGGUUUUGAAGCCUCUACGUUCCUGCCUUCACAAGCCUCUCACAUGGAACGAUUGGUAUGCACCGUACCUCAAAUGGGCUAGAUUCCUCCCAUUGGCAUGGUUGGUCAAGGAAGGGCUCCCCAAGAUGGACAAUGCAGCUUUGAUAGCACUUUGUAGACCGGUGGAGGCCUGAGACACACACAUUCCACCUUCCCGCCAGUGAGAUGACAGUUACACUACAAGAUGUGGCCAUGCUGUUUGGGCUUCGUAUAGAUGGCAGAGCCAUGACCGGUACCAUAUCUCCAAUUGGAUGGAGAGAUAGAGUGGAGUUGUUUGGAGUCCGCCCACCUAAACCACCAAAAGACACCAAGAACAAGAAGCCUACAGUAGUGACCUCAGCAUGGAUGGCGGAGCACUUUGGUACGCCACCUGCAGCUGAUGCUCAGGAAGAGCUGGUUGCUAGGUUUGCCCGAGCGUGGCUAUGGCAACUGGUCGCAGGGUUCCUAUUCCCGAAUUCCAGCGGGAACACAAUCUCUUGGAUGUGGCUAGAAAUAAUUGGUCAGGACUGGGACAACAUUGGCACUUUCAACUGGGGGAAUGCAACACUAUUGGAUGGUUGUACCGUCAAAUGUGUGAUGCUUGUAGGAGGAGUGGAAAUAAUGCAAACCUUGGCGGUUGUGCUUAUCUAUUGUAGUUGUGGAUGUGGGAGCGCCUUCCUGUUGGCCGGCGGGAGCGGCAUGCUCAUGGGGUAAGUACAUUAUUUUCGAUAAUAGCUUGGCACUACUAGCGUAUGAUUUAC